Molecule: ribosomal RNA, 305 nt
Filed under: uncultured bacterium
Lineage: Bacteria
Description: bacterial SSU rRNA
Rfam family: Bacterial small subunit ribosomal RNA
Source: RNAcentral
UCACCUACGGGGGGCAGCAGUGAGGAAUAUUGGUCAAUGGACGAGAGUCUGAAAAAGCCAAGUAGCGUGAAGGAUGACUGCCCUAUGGGUUGUAAACUUCUUUUAUAUGGGAAUAAAGUUUUCCACGUGUGGAAUUUUGUAUGUACCAUAUGAAUAAGGAUCGGCUAACUCCGUGCCAGCAGCCGCGGUAAUGCGGAGGAUCCGAGCGUUAUCCGGAUUUAUUGGGUUUAAAGGGAGCGUAGGUGGAUUGUUAAGUCAGUUGUGACAGUUUGGGGCUCAACCGUAAAAUUGAAGUUGAAACUGGG